AUACGUAGGUGACAAGCGUUAUCCGGAUUUACUGGGCGUAAAGGGCGUGUAGGCGGUCUUGCAAGUCAGAAGUGAAAUUCCUGAGCUCAACUCGGGCGCUGCUUCUGAAACUGCAGGACUUGAGUGCUGGAGGGGAUAGCGGAAUUCCUAGUGGAGCGGUAAAAUGCGCAGAAAUUAGGAAGAACACCGGUGGCGAAGGCGGAUUCCUGGACAAUAACUGACGUUGAGACGCGAAAGCGUGGGGAGCAAACAGGAUUAGAUACCCUGGUAGUCCACGCCGUAAACGAGGAAUACUAGGUGUAGGGGGUAUCGACUCCCUCUGUGCCGCAGUUAACACAAUAAGUAUUCCGCCUGGGGAGUACGGCCGCAAGGUUGAAACUCAAAUGAAUUGACGGGG
Molecule: ribosomal RNA, 397 nt
Filed under: uncultured bacterium
Lineage: Bacteria
Description: partial 16S ribosomal RNA
Rfam family: Bacterial small subunit ribosomal RNA
Source: RNAcentral